This 136-nucleotide signal recognition particle RNA is filed under the name Methanocaldococcus jannaschii DSM 2661. RNAcentral describes it as "SRP RNA from Methanocaldococcus jannaschii DSM 2661 (PDB 3NDB, chain M)". It matches the Rfam family "Archaeal signal recognition particle RNA", at positions 119 to 256 of the family's 317-position model. The record is from Rfam by way of RNAcentral. Lineage: Archaea; Methanobacteriati; Methanobacteriota; Methanococci; Methanococcales; Methanocaldococcaceae.
GUCUCGUCCCGUGGGGCUCGGCGGUGGGGGAGCAUCUCCUGUAGGGGAGAUGUAACCCCCUUUACCUGCCGAACCCCGCCAGGCCCGGAAGGGAGCAACGGUAGGCAGGACGUCGGCGCUCACGGGGGUGCGGGAC